GGGGGCGUCCUGGCUUCGACGCGGGCGAAUCCGAUGGGUUGGGUAGCAAGCCGAGGAUGCUGGUGGGCCUCGUAAAUCAUCCAGCAAACACCAAAUGCGAAGUCCGAUCUGGAUCUCGCGCUCGCUGCGUAAUCUGAUUACGUAACGGGUGGCCCCUCCGGGCCUCCGCGGAGGGUGUCCUUCAGAAGGAGGCUUGCCUGGUGGCCGGGGGGUCCGUGCCGGCCACAGGGGACUCCAACGACGGGCUGGCCAGCGGAGCACCGGCCUGCGUGGUGCAACGCGGCGAGACACUGAACGCAGGCUGAGCUUGGAGAAGCCCUUCCUGUCGCGUCCGUGGACGCGGGUUCGAUUCCCGCCGCCUCCACUA
RNAcentral lists this transfer-messenger RNA (367 nucleotides) under Actinomycetota bacterium. It matches the Rfam family "transfer-messenger RNA". Rfam says of the family: Bacterial tmRNA, also known as 10Sa RNA or SsrA, is named for its dual tRNA and mRNA-like properties. The record is from RNAcentral. Lineage: Bacteria; Bacillati; Actinomycetota.